UACGUAGGGUCCGAGCGUUGUCCGGAAUUACUGGGCGUAAAGAGCUCGUAGGUGGUUUGUCGCGUUGUUCGUGAAAACUCACAGCUUAACUGUGGGCGUGCGGGCGAUACGGGCAGACUAGAGUACUGCAGGGGAGACUGGAAUUCCUGGUGUAGCGGUGGAAUGCGCAGAUAUCAGGAGGAACACCGGUGGCGAAGGCAGUUCUCUGGGCAUGAUCUGACGCUGAGGGGCGAAAGUGUGGGGAGCGAACAGG
This 253-nucleotide ribosomal RNA is filed under the name uncultured bacterium. Its description in RNAcentral is "partial 16S ribosomal RNA". It matches the Rfam family "Bacterial small subunit ribosomal RNA", at positions 524 to 776 of the family's 1533-position model. The record is from RNAcentral.